RNAcentral lists this ribosomal RNA (258 nucleotides) under uncultured bacterium. RNAcentral's name for it is "partial 16S ribosomal RNA". It matches the Rfam family "Bacterial small subunit ribosomal RNA", at positions 96 to 354 of the family's 1533-position model. The record is from RNAcentral.
UGGCGGACGGGUGAGUAACGCGUGGGUAACCUGCCUUACACUGGGGGAUAACACUUAGAAAUAGGUGCUAAUACCGCAUAAGCGCACGAUGCCGCAUGGAUUUGUGUGAAAAACUCCGGUGGUGUAAGAUGGACCCGCGUCUGAUUAGCUUGUUGGCGGGGUAACGGCCCACCAAGGCGACGAUCAGUAGCCGGCCUGAGAGGGUGGACGGCCACAUUGGGACUGAGACACGGCCCAAACUCCUACGGAAGGCAGCAG